CCUACGGGUGGCUGCAGUGGGGAAUUUUGGACAAUGGGGGCAACCCUGAUCCAGCCAUGCCGCGUGAGUGAAGAAGGCCUUCGGGUUGUAAAGCUCUUUCGGCCGGGAAGACAUCGCUCAAGCUAAUACCUUGGGUGGAUGACGGUACCGGAAGAAGAAGCACCGGCUAACUACGUGCCAGCAGCCGCGGUAAUACGUACGGUGCGAGCGUGAGUCGGAAUUACUGGGCGUGAGGCGUGCGCAAGCGGCGAAAUCCCCGGGCGUAACCUGGGGACUGCGUUUGUGACUGUGGUGCUCGAGUGCGGCAGAGGGGGGUGGAAUUCCACGUGUAGCAGUGAAAUGCGUAGAGAUGUGGAGGAACACCGAUGGCGAAGGCAGCCCCCUGGGUCGACACUGACGCUCAUGCACGAAAGCGUGGGGAGCAAACAGGAUUAGAUACCCCAGUAGUC
This 449-nucleotide ribosomal RNA is filed under the name uncultured bacterium. Its description in RNAcentral is "partial 16S ribosomal RNA". It matches the Rfam family "Bacterial small subunit ribosomal RNA", at positions 338 to 795 of the family's 1533-position model. The record is from RNAcentral.